UGGUCAUCAUCAAGACUUUCAGAAUGCAGUUUUCUCAUCUGCCAUGGACAGGACCACGAAACACUUUCCCACUAGGUUUUCUCUCUGCUACGGUGCUAGCAUUCAGCCUACUGGGGACAGUU
This is a small nucleolar RNA of Pteronotus mesoamericanus, 122 nucleotides long. RefSeq annotates it as small nucleolar RNA SNORA32. NCBI's taxonomy places the organism in Eukaryota, Metazoa, Chordata, Mammalia, Chiroptera, Mormoopidae. The transcript has a single exon. The record is from RefSeq and is a predicted model, not a curated record.